This 484-nucleotide ribosomal RNA is filed under the name uncultured bacterium. RNAcentral's name for it is "partial 16S ribosomal RNA". It matches the Rfam family "Bacterial small subunit ribosomal RNA", at positions 30 to 507 of the family's 1533-position model. The record is from RNAcentral.
AUUGAACGCUGGCGGCAGGCCUAACACAUGCAAGUCGAGCGGAUGAAGGGAGCUUGCUCCUGGAUUCAGCGGCGGACGGGUGAGUAAUGCCUAGGAAUCUGCCUGGUAGUGGGGGAUAACGUCCGGAAACGGGCGCUAAUACCGCAUACGUCCUGAGGGAGAAAGUGGGGGAUCUUCGGACCUCACGCUAUCAGAUGAGCCUAGGUCGGAUUAGCUAGUUGGUGGGGUAAAGGCCUACCAAGGCGACGAUCCGUAACUGGUCUGAGAGGAUGAUCAGUCACACUGGAACUGAGACACGGUCCAGACUCCUACGGGAGGCAGCAGUGGGGAAUAUUGGACAAUGGGCGAAAGCCUAAUCCAGCCAGGCCGCGGGUGUGAAGAAGGUCUUCGGAUUGAAAAGCACUUUAAGUUGGGAGGAAGGGCAGUAAGUUAAUACCUUGCUGUUUUGACGUUACCAACAGAAUAAGCACCGGCUAACUUCGUG